RNAcentral lists this unclassified non-coding RNA (811 nucleotides) under Hevea brasiliensis (rubber tree). Lineage: Eukaryota; Viridiplantae; Streptophyta; Magnoliopsida; Malpighiales; Euphorbiaceae. The record is from RNAcentral.
GGGGUUUGUGGGGAUGGGAGGAGGGGAAAGCACAUAAUAAAUUUUAAUACAAAAACAACUAGGCUUUAAUCCCAAACUAGUUAGGGUUGGCUAUAUAGAUCCUUUAUCACCAUUUCAACUUCGUUUAACACUAGGUCCGCAUCAAUAUCCAAAACAGAUUUUAAUUAACUAUUAAAAUUUCUAAGUUUUGGAAUCAUACCAAUUAAACAGACUUUACAUUUGCUUUUCUUCUUUUUCCUCCGCUUUUUUUGCUAGCAAGGCAUCAGGAACACCUUAACCUCUUGACUAAUCUCUAGUGCUGCAGUACAUGCAGCCUCCCUAUUCCAAACAAACCAUGCAAAUAUAAGGAGAAAUCCUUGGGGGAAGUCCAGUAAAAGGAGGUUUGCGAGGGGUUCAAACUCAGGUUAAGACUUCAUAAGGCCAAUGACACAACUUGCUAUCACCUAACCAUUCAACCAAACUGUUAGCUCCUUUCAACCAAUCAAUGACCGCAGAGAGUAGCAUUCACCAAAACGCAUUAUAGACUACAGAUAAGUCAACAAAUCAAUUACAAUCUGCGGUUAUGUGCAUAAGAAAAACAAUAUUAUCUAUGCUCUACUUGACACAGAAGAUCAAAGAACUCAAAAUUCCUUCUUACAAAUGGCACAAAAGGGUUCUCUUGUUGACAAAUGAUCCAUGACUUAACAUUACCAUGAUCUAGACAAAAAGUAAGAAGUAUCAUUUACGCUAUCCAAAAUUCAUUAUUAUGUCCUCUCCAAUCAAAAGUUAAUUAUAAGUAAUUUCACGAGACAAAACAAAUACUUACAGUUAA